UUUAAGAAAACAGGGAGCAGGUAUCAGGCACGCCCCUAUCAGCCCAAGACACCUUGCUUAGCCACGCCCCCAAGGGACUUCAGCAGUGAUUAAUAUUAGAUAAUGAACGAAAGUUUGAUCUAGUUAAGGUUAUUAGAGCCGGCCAACCUCGUGCCAGCCGCCGCGGUUAUACGAGCGGCCCAAAUUAAUGAGAUAACGGCGUAAAGAGUGUAUAAGAAAAACCUUCCCCUAUUAAAGAUAAAAUAGUGCCCAACUGUUAUACGCACCCGCACCAAUGAAAUCCACUACAAAAGGAACUUUAUUAUAACAAGGCCUCUUAAAACACGAUAGCUAAAAAACAAACUGGGAUUAGAUACCCCACUAUGUUUAGCCCUAAACCUAGGUGUUUAAUUACCCAAACACCCGCCAGAGAACUACAAGCGCCAGCUUAAAACCCAAAGGACUUGGCGGUGCCUUAGACCCCCCUAGAGGAGCCUGUUCUAGAACCGAUAAUCCACGUUCAACCUCACCACCCCUUGCUCUUUCAGCCUAUAUACCGCCGUCGCCAGCCUGCCCCAUGAGGGUCAAACAGCAAGCACAAAGAAUUAAACUCCAAAACGUCAGGUCGAGGUGUAGCCCAUGAGGUGGGAAGAAAUGAGCUACAUUUUCUAUUAAGAUAAACAGAUAAAUAAUGAAAUUAAAUUUGAAGUUGGAUUUAGCAGUAAGAUAUAAAUAGUAUAUUAAUCUG
This 727-nucleotide ribosomal RNA is filed under the name Chimaera phantasma (silver chimaera). Its description in RNAcentral is "partial 12S ribosomal RNA". It matches the Rfam family "Bacterial small subunit ribosomal RNA", at positions 291 to 1364 of the family's 1533-position model. Lineage: Eukaryota; Metazoa; Chordata; Chondrichthyes; Chimaeriformes; Chimaeridae. The record is from RNAcentral.